UACGGAAGGUUCGGGCGUUAUCCGGAUUUAUUGGGUUUAAAGGGAGCGCAGGCGGUUUAUUAAGCGUGUUGUGAAAUGUAGAGGCUUAACCUCUGACGUGCAGCGCGAACUGGUAGACUUGAGUUCGUGCGAGGAUGGCGGAAUUCGUGGUGUAGCGGUGAAAUGCUUAGAUAUCACGAAGAACUCCGAUUGCGAAGGCAGCUGUCCGGUGCGUUACUGACGCUGAGGCUCGAAGGUGCGGGUAUCGAACAGG
Molecule: ribosomal RNA, 253 nt
Filed under: uncultured bacterium
Lineage: Bacteria
Description: partial 16S ribosomal RNA
Rfam family: Bacterial small subunit ribosomal RNA
Source: RNAcentral